GCUGGGUGCGGUGGUUCACACCUGUAAUCCUAGCACUUUGGGAGGCUGAGGUGGGUGGAUCACCUGAGGUCAGGAGUUCAAGACCAGCCUGGCCAACAUGGUGAAACCCCAUCUCUA
This 117-nucleotide non-coding RNA is filed under the name Gorilla gorilla gorilla (western lowland gorilla). The record is from Rfam by way of RNAcentral. Lineage: Eukaryota; Metazoa; Chordata; Mammalia; Primates; Hominidae.